GAUGAACGCUGGCGGCGUGCCUAAUACAUGCAAGUCGAGCGAACAGACGAGGAGCUUGCUCCUCUGACGUUAGCGGCGGACGGGUGAGUAACACGUGGAUAACCUACCUAUAAGACUGGGAUAACUUCGGGAAACCGGAGCUAAUACCGGAUAAUAUAUUGAACCGCAUGGUUCAAUAGUGAAAGACGGUUUUGCUGUCACUUAUAGAUGGAUCCGCGCCGCAUUAGCUAGUUGGUAAGGUAACGGCUUACCAAGGCAACGAUGCGUAGCCGACCUGAGAGGGUGAUCGGCCACACUGGAACUGAGAAACGGUCCAGACUCCUACGGGAGGCAGCAGUAGGGAAUCUUCCGCAAUGGGCGAAAGCCGACGGAGCAACGCCGCGUGAGUGAUGAAGGUCUUCGGAUCGUAAAACUCUGUUAUUAGGGAAGAACAAAUGUGUAAGUAACUAUGCACGUCUUGACGGUACCUAAUCAGAAAGCCACGGCUAACUACGUG
This 496-nucleotide ribosomal RNA is filed under the name uncultured bacterium. RNAcentral describes it as "partial 16S ribosomal RNA". It matches the Rfam family "Bacterial small subunit ribosomal RNA", at positions 28 to 507 of the family's 1533-position model. The record is from RNAcentral.